GAUGAACGCUGGCGGCGUGCCUAAUACAUGCAAGUCGAGCGAACAGACGAGGAGCUUGCUCCUCUGACGUUAGCGGCGGACGGGUGAGUAACACGUGGAUAACCUACCUAUAAGACUGGGAUAACUUCGGGAAACCGGAGCUAAUACCGGAUAAUAUAUUGAACAGCAUGGUUCAAUAGUGAAAGACGGUUUUGCUGUCACUUAUAGAUGGAUCCGCGCCGCAUUAGCUAGUUGGUAAGGUAACGGCUUACCAAGGCGACGAUGCGUAGCCGACCUGAGAGGGUGAUCGGCCACACUGGAACUGAGACACGGUCCAGACUCCUACGGGAGGCAGCAGUAGGGAAUCUUCCGCAAAGGGCGAAAGCCUGACGGAGCAACGCCGCGUGAGUGAUGAAGGUCUUCGGAUCGUAAAACUCUGUUAUUAGGGAAGAACAAAUGUGUAAGUAACUAUGCACGUCUUGACGGUACCUAAUCAGAAAGCCACGGCUAACUACGUG
RNAcentral lists this ribosomal RNA (497 nucleotides) under uncultured bacterium. Its description in RNAcentral is "partial 16S ribosomal RNA". It matches the Rfam family "Bacterial small subunit ribosomal RNA", at positions 28 to 507 of the family's 1533-position model. The record is from RNAcentral.